AUCAAAUCAAGCCUUGAGGGGAAGUGCAGUUUGAUUGUAUUUUGAGAAACCAGAUUUGACAUGUUCAUCAGAUGCCUUUCUUUCCCUUCAUCAUACAGGCAUAUUCCAGAGAGGCUGGCCAGAGGGUUCAAAGGAUUUGGCCAUAUCCUGGCUCCCAAGUAGUGGCUGAUCACUGUGGAGAAGUGAUCAGCCCAUAUUGAUCUGGUGAUAGCCUAUACUGUCUAUACUGAUUGGUGCUAAAAUGCAUAGAAGCUUAUUAUAUUCUUGAAUGGAUGGAUUGGUUGAUACUAUUGGGGCAGAACUUCCCCUCCUCCACAGCAAGCGAGGCUGAUCUUCUCCCAAACAUUUCUCCUUAGGUGCGCUGUGGCGCCUUUGCGAUGAUGUAUUACAUUCUCUUGGGACUUUUUCCUGAUUUCAUCUGUGAGCAAAUACUAGCAGGUGAUGCAGAGCUGUGGAGUUAGAAAAGGCUCGAGAAGUUUUCCUGAGCAAGUUUGGGGAAAGAGCCCUGAUGACUGGAAGACCAAGGUGUCAGCAAUAAGACUGGGAGAUACCCAACUGAAGGUGAGGGCUCUGUCUGAAAAACUCUGGGGAUUGAGCAGAUGGCAGGAUAGUUGCCAGAUAUGGUGUGGGCCAGACAGCUAAUAGAACCACAGUUUGAGCCCAGAGCAAUCUGUUUCACCUGUGCUUUUCCAGCUCUAACCAAGUGUCUCUUCCUACAUGAUUGUUGGCCUGACAUCUAGGGAUUGAAAGCAUAACUCUGUUUUCUUGCAUCCUACAAACUAGAUAAAAGAAAGAUGGGGGGGGGGGGGCGGGUGGAGGUAGGGGAGGAGGUCUGUUAAAGAUUGGCACACUAAAAUUGAGAUAGUUUACCUUUGGCCAAGCCCCCUUCCAGAGCCCCAGAGAUCACACUCCCUAGCAAUUCUGAGCAAGGAGAAAAAGAGCUGACACAAGACUCUGCAGAAUGUCCAUCCAGCAGGGCUUCCCGUACACUGACACCCUGGGGUUAUUAUUGCUUUGGGUAUAUGAGAUCACUCUGAAUGGAAUGCCUCAUUAUAGGUUUAAACCCAAGCUAUAAAUCAAACAUUUCUCCUUUAAUAUAAGGAAGUUUCAGAUUAUUUUCAAGAACACCUGGUGCAAAGUGAGGUAAUCUUAUAUGGUAAGGAGGAUGAAUAACUUAAACCACAUUCUCAUAAAUUUCUUUAACCUGGAAGAAAGCCUUUAAGGCUAUCUGCAUACAUGAUGUGUCUGAUUUUUCCUUGAAUAAUGUGUGAAGCGUUUUAAACAGACCAGCAAAUCUGCAGAGUUCUAAACCCUCCCUCAGAAUCUGCCUUGCUUUCUGCAUGUAGACAAGUAUCGAAAAUUACUGAGGAUUGCUUUCUUAAUUUGACUAAAUGUUCUUUUUUUUUCUCCAUCCAGAAAGAUCUUGUUGACAAUUAUUUCUUCAUUCUGCAUCCCAAACUUCCAGUUUGCAGAGGUAGAAAAAUCAAUGUGAAUAGCUUAGUGCUGACAAAUGAGGCUCAAAUUACCAAUACUUGUAGUCAACAUGGCAAAGAUUUUCAUCCAGUUAACUCUACUGUUUUCUUUUUUUAAAGGUGUUGGCAUAGGUGGACUUAAUUAUUAUUCAUAACUAUAUCUGUAAGCACUGUUUUCCUCUGCUUUGCCUUCCAAAUGUUCUACUGAUUUUAAAAUGAAAUUAUUUCAAGACUAGAAUCAACAAAUUUUUAUUUAUUUUUUUUAAAGAUUUUAUUUAUUUAUUCGUGAGAGACACACAGAGAGAGAGAGAGAGGCAGAGACACAGGCAGAGGGAGAAGCAGGCUCCAUGCAGGGAGCCCAACGUGGGACUCGAUCCCAGGUCUCCAGGAUCAUGCUGAAGGCAGGCGCUAAACCGCUGAGCCACCAGGGCUGCCCUCAACAACUUUUUAAUAUAAGAUUCUCUAGGUUUACCAAAUAAGGACAUCUUCCUUUUAGAUUUUGUGUUCUCUUCUUGGAUCAAAUAAUGAAGAGUUGGAGAAGCAUCCCUCAGUGGACACUAAGGACUAGAUAAUAGUCUUUUCAAUAAAACCAUAACAUUCUAACCCUGGAUUUGACUCUAU
RNAcentral lists this long non-coding RNA (2093 nucleotides) under Canis lupus familiaris (dog). RNAcentral describes it as "lncRNA (ENSCAFG00000051718.1, ENSCAFG00805021738.1)". The record is from RNAcentral. Lineage: Eukaryota; Metazoa; Chordata; Mammalia; Carnivora; Canidae.